RNAcentral lists this transfer RNA (57 nucleotides) under Dromiciops gliroides (monito del monte). RNAcentral describes it as "transfer RNA-Ser". Lineage: Eukaryota; Metazoa; Chordata; Mammalia; Microbiotheria; Microbiotheriidae. The record is from RNAcentral.
GAGAAAGUCCAAAGAACUGCUAACUCUUUAACCCGCAUUUAACACAUGCGGCUUUCU